Molecule: ribosomal RNA, 468 nt
Filed under: uncultured bacterium
Lineage: Bacteria
Description: partial 16S ribosomal RNA
Rfam family: Bacterial small subunit ribosomal RNA
Source: RNAcentral
GACGAACGCUGGCGGCGUGCUUAACACAUGCAAGUCGAACGGACAGGCCCUGCUUUUGUGGGGUGCUCGUUAGGCGAACGCGUGAGAAACACGUGUGUAAACCGUACUUAUCUUAGGGAUAAAUCUAGGAAACAGGGGCUAAUACAGGAUAGGAGCUCUUGAUGCACGGUGGGGGUUGGUGAGUUUCGGCGGUUGGGGAUGGACUGGCUGCUUAUCAGCUGGUUGGUGGGGUAGGUGAUUACCAAGGUUAUGACGGGUAGCCGGCCUGAGAGGGUGACCGGCGACAUUGGGACUGCGGUACGGCCCAGACUCCUACGGGACGCAGCAGUCGGGAGUAUUACACAAUGGGGGGAAGCCUGAUGCAGCAACGCCGCGUGCGGGAUGACGGGCUACGGGUUGUAAACCGCUUUCGCCGGAACCGAGGCGUGAGUGACGGUAAUGGGUAAAGAAGCACCGGCUAACUACGUG